Molecule: non-coding RNA, 30 nt
Filed under: Mus musculus (house mouse)
Lineage: Eukaryota; Metazoa; Chordata; Mammalia; Rodentia; Muridae
Also listed under: 1 other name
Source: RNAcentral
UGGAACUUACUCUGUAGACCAGGCUGGCCU